CAACAAAUAGUGAAUAUCUUUUUAUCGUAGUGAAUAUCUUUUUAUCUCCAAAUUACGGAAAAUUAUCAAUUAAUUUAAAAAUGGUUUUAGCUUUUGGCAUAGCUUUUGGCAAUGGAUUAAAGUGUAUAAUUGCUUAUAGCAGACAAGCUGUCUGUAUAUUUAUAACAUCUCUUCUUGGGAGACCGAAUUCAAAUGAUUUUAAAAAGAACUUCUUUAUUCUGAAUCACCGGCGUGUUAUCUAAAUUAGGUGAACGAGCAUGGUUGCAAAAUAAUGUGAAUUAUGGCUUUUAAUUUUCAAGUUGAAAAAUAUAUAGUAAAUGAUGUCAUUCAAAAUCGGC
Molecule: non-coding RNA, 338 nt
Organism: Paramuricea clavata
Lineage: Eukaryota; Metazoa; Cnidaria; Anthozoa; Malacalcyonacea; Plexauridae
Source: the annotation of a GenBank genome assembly